GGCUUAACACAUGCAAGUCGUGCGAGAAAGUAUCUUCGGAUAUGAGUAGAGCGGCGAACGGGUGAGUAACGCGUAGGAAUGUACCUAGUAGAAGGGGAUAGCCCGGGGAAACCCGGAUUAAUACCGUAUACCUCCUUCGGGAGAAAGAAGGCCUCUCUUUGAAGCUUUCGCUACUAGAUCAGCCUGCGUAAGAUUAGCUUGUUGGUGAGGUAAAGGCUCACCAAGGCGACGAUCUUUAGCUGGUCUGAGAGGACGAUCAGCCACAUUGGGACUGAGACACGGCCCAGACUCCUACGGGAGGCAGCAGUGGGGAAUAUUGGACAAUGGGCGCAAGCCUGAUCCAGCCAUACCGCGUGUGUGAAGAAGGCCUUCGGGUUGUAAAGCACUUUAAGCAGGGAGAAAAAAAUAUAGGCUAAUACCCUAUGUUCUUGAUGUUACCUGCAGAAUAA
This 449-nucleotide ribosomal RNA is filed under the name uncultured Pseudomonadota bacterium. RNAcentral's name for it is "bacterial SSU rRNA". It matches the Rfam family "Bacterial small subunit ribosomal RNA", at positions 45 to 489 of the family's 1533-position model. The record is from RNAcentral. Lineage: Bacteria; Pseudomonadati; Pseudomonadota.